Molecule: ribosomal RNA, 1116 nt
Filed under: Escherichia coli
Lineage: Bacteria; Pseudomonadati; Pseudomonadota; Gammaproteobacteria; Enterobacterales; Enterobacteriaceae
Description: bacterial SSU rRNA
Rfam family: Bacterial small subunit ribosomal RNA
Source: RNAcentral
AAAUUGAAGAGUUUGAUCAUGGCUCAGAUUGAACGCUGGCGGCAGGCCUAACACAUGCAAGUCGAACGGUAACAGGAAACAGCUUGCUGUUUCGCUGACGAGUGGCGGACGGGUGAGUAAUGUCUGGGAAACUGCCUGAUGGAGGGGGAUAACUACUGGAAACGGUAGCUAAUACCGCAUAACGUCGCAAGACCAAAGAGGGGGACCUUCGGGCCUCUUGCCAUCGGAUGUGCCCAGAUGGGAUUAGCUAGUAGGUGGGGUAAAGGCUCACCUAGGCGACGAUCCCUAGCUGGUCUGAGAGGAUGACCAGCCACACUGGAACUGAGACACGGUCCAGACUCCUACGGGAGGCAGCAGUGGGGAAUAUUGCACAAUGGGCGCAAGCCUGAUGCAGCCAUGCCGCGUGUAUGAAGAAGGCCUUCGGGUUGUAAAGUACUUUCAGCGGGGAGGAAGGGAGUAAAGUUAAUACCUUUGCUCAUUGACGUUACCCGCAGAAGAAGCACCGGCUAACUCCGUGCCAGCAGCCGCGGUAAUACGGAGGGUGCAAGCGUUAAUCGGAAUUACUGGGCGUAAAGCGCACGCAGGCGGUUUGUUAAGUCAGAUGUGAAAUCCCCGGGCUCAACCUGGGAACUGCAUCUGAUACUGGCAAGCUUGAGUCUCGUAGAGGGGGGUAGAAUUCCAGGUGUAGCGGUGAAAUGCGUAGAGAUCUGGAGGAAUACCGGUGGCGAAGGCGGCCCCCUGGACGAAGACUGACGCUCAGGUGCGAAAGCGUGGGGAGCAAACAGGAUUAGAUACCCUGGUAGUCCACGCCGUAAACGAUGUCGACUUGGAGGUUGUGCCCUUGAGGCGUGGCUUCCGGAGCUAACGCGUUAAGUCGACCGCCUGGGGAGUACGGCCGCAAGGUUAAAACUCAAAUGAAUUGACGGGGGCCCGCACAAGCGGUGGAGCAUGUGGUUUAAUUCGAUGCAACGCGAAGAACCUUACCUGGUCUUGACAUCCACGGAAGUUUUCAGAGAUGAGAAUGUGCCUUCGGGAACCGUGAGACAGGUGCUGCAUGGCUGUCGUCAGCUCGUGUUGUGAAAUGUUGGGUUAAGUCCCGCAACGAGCGCAACCCUU